AUGACUGAGCCUCAUGUUGUACUCAGGGGCUGUUGCAGAUGGGGCAGCACAGAGAACGCCCACUUUCCUAAAACCAGGGGUCUUCAUAGAACAGAGAAGUGGAGGAAGCUUUGGUCCUCUAGAUGUCAAUGGGCACCAACUCCCACCAGCUUCUGCCAACAUAUCCAAUGGAGAGGAAUUAUGGGAGUUGUGGUCCAGCAACAUCUGUUGAGCCACAGGUUUCCCAUUCCUGCCUUAGAAUGUAACAGAGCUCCCUUCUUCCAAAGCCUUAAACCCAUUGCAUUUCACAGAGCAUGCUUUUUUAAAAAAAAGAAAAGAAAUUUCUUUGCCCAGGUAGUCUGAAGUGUGCAACUUAGUGAUCAGAUUUGCAUCAUUUCUCCUGUGCUUGCAUGCUUUAUUUUGGCUUUGCUAGAAGCCCAGCAGGACGCUCCCAAGCAUACUUUUGCACCCAUGAGAACCAGAAAGAUGCCUUAAAAAUAAAAUAAAAAGCGGAGAUUCCCAAGAAGCUGAAUUCUGUUCUGUGCUUAUCUCUUAUGUGUGGCUCUCUCUCUUUUAAUCCUCUUGCUUUUUAACGCCUGUAUCGGGCACAGAGAAGCUGUGACUCUUCAGGUGUUGGUCCAAUGCACCUCCCAUCAUCUCUGCCCUUUAGACUUGCUGGCUCAAGCUGAAGGAGUUGCAGCUUUAAAUGUGGAGGAACCCAGGCUCCACAGCAUUUACCUAAAGAAGUAGUGCCAGCUGUGUUGGAAAUUAGGUGAGGUGCAUCAGAAAAAGGAAACCAGGUACUUGCAAAACAACAACAACAACCCUGCCUUAUGAAUUUGAAGGGUUACAAUUUUAUGAGGAUGGUAACGAAAAAAGACAAUGCAUACAACUUUUCAAACAAUGCAUGAAUGGAAAGGAAGGAUCAAAAGCUUGGGUUAGAAUAAUGGGAAACAGAAGGGAUGUCAAUCAUCAUACUCACAACCAAUGGUGUAAAUCAUAUUGGGGUUCCCGCCUCACUUUGGAGUAAGCUCUGCCACAACUACAAACUCUGAAAGCCAUGUGCCAAAUAUCUUGCUUCUGGGAAGGAAGCAGCGUGGCUCUCCUCCUCAAAUGUGAAACAUCUGAUGUAGAAUUUUAUUGUUCCAGUGGGAUUUUUAAAUAUUUGUUUUUUAGCAUUUGAAUAAUUUACAGGUGAUGUCACUGAACAAUGGACUUGGUACAAUAUGUAGCAGACCGUUUCUAUUAGCUGUUUCUAAUGCAGCUGUCCAAAAGCUAGACUCUUACUCCCGUAGACACUUGUGAACUGUCAGAAGAUAUAUUGUAAUUCGGGAAUAAAAGGAAGCUGCUGUAUCAUAUUUACAGAGGUGCACUGUACAUGUGUGUGCUUGCGUGCACACAGUUCUGGUUUGUAUUGCAAAAUCCGCUUAUCCUGCUUCUCCAGUCACCAUCUGGAAUGUGGUACUGAGGCUGCAUUUCUUUGCAAGGCAACUGUUAUAUACUGUAUUACUUUAACUACAUGCUAUGUGAAGACAUGGGUGGCGCUGUGGUCUAAACCACUGAGCCUCUUGGGCUUGCUGAUCGGAAGGUUGGCGGUUCGAAUACGUGCGAUGGGGUGAGCUCCCGUUGCUCUGUCCCAGCUUAGCAGUUUGAAAGCAUACCAGUGCAAGUAAAUAAAUAGGUACUGCAGCUGCGGGAAGGUAAACAUGCGCUCUAGCACUCAUCACAGUCCACCGUGCACCAGUAGGAGUUUAGUCAUGCUGGCCACAUGACCCGGAAAACUGUCUGUGGACAAAUGCCUGCUCCCUCGGCCUGAGAAGUGAGAUGAGUGCCACAAUCCCAUAGUUGCCUUUGACUGGACUUAACCGUCCAGGGGUCUUUUACCUUUUUCUUUCCCUUAUGUGAAGAAGUACUUUCUUUUGCUGUGAACCUUCCAACAACAUUCAGCUUCAUUGGCUGUCUCCAAGUUCAGGUGCUAUGAUUUUUUCUUGCCGCUGUCAAAGUCAGUGAGCCCUUGGAGCGGAAGGGGAGGGGAGCAGAAAACAGUGCUUAAGAGGCAAGAUCAGACCCCUGAACUGUGGUUGUUAGCCACCCCUACUUUAAAGGUUUUCCCUCUCACAGGCACCGGGUAGUACAGACGCAUUCCUGCAGAUGCUACUACUACUUUGCAGUCAGCCUGUGUCAAGGCAUCUCAAUCACUUCCCAAAAAUUGCCUCGCUGCGUCUGGGCCACUGUGCUAUGGUGAUAACUUGUGAAGCGAAAACAGCAGCAAAAUCCCAGCCUCAGCCGCGGAUCAUAUGCUAGAAUCGGACCAUAGUGAGGUUAAGGAUAUGAAUAAAAACCUCCCAAGCCUGCAGCUUGCCUUGAGAUC
Long non-coding RNA from Podarcis muralis (Common wall lizard), 2350 nucleotides. The record is from Ensembl. Lineage: Eukaryota; Metazoa; Chordata; Lepidosauria; Squamata; Lacertidae.